Molecule: long non-coding RNA, 311 nt
Filed under: Cottoperca gobio
Lineage: Eukaryota; Metazoa; Chordata; Actinopteri; Perciformes; Bovichtidae
Description: lncRNA (ENSCGOG00000013306.1)
Source: RNAcentral
ACCGUACUGAAGGUGAGUGACUCAAAUCAUGCAGCUGUAUUUUCAUUCAUGAAAACACGAGACGGACAGUAAGACGUCACCGUGUGUUUUCUUUUGCAGAUUUUCGCAGUGGAUGAAUCAUUUAGAGUGGAACUUAAAUUUACUCUAUCCGAAGCCGUCGUUGAAGAAAAAAUCAACGAAAUCACCAAUGCGCUUAUAACUGCCACCAAGGCUUCUGUGCAAAUUGCUGUAAUCAGGCCUGAUUUUCCUGAAGCAUCCAGGGAUUCAGGUAACACGAUCAUAGUGGCAUAUUUUGUCUACUCCAACGGGAC